AUUCCCCCGAGUCGGCCCGCGGGCUACGGCCGCCUGCGGAGCGCAGGAACCUUCACCUCCCGAGGACAGGCGCCUUCCCCUCGGGACCCGGCUCCCCUGCUGCCUGCGCCGCUCUGUCCCCCUGCCGCUGCCCAAGCCUCCAGCAGGGGCCACCGAGGGCUCCAGGAGCACCCCAGGCCCGUUCUUCUGGCCCACAGCGCCCCUCCUGUGACCCUCAGCGACCCUCCUGUCCUGCCCUCCGGCGGCGCGGCUGUCUGGAGACUCUGCACCGUCGCGGCCUCGCAGCCUCGCAGCCCCGCGCCGGGUGGGGAGGGGAGGGUGGCGUUCCUGAGUCCGCGGAGGAAAGGGUCGCAGCUGCAGUCGCGCCAGCCCUCGGGCCUACAUCCGCUCCGCCGCGACGCGGCUCACAAACUAGGGAGGGGAGAAGGGAAGAAAGACCCGAUUCGGGAACACGGCUUUGUCCCUGGAACUGUACCUCAUGUCCCCUCACUUAAUCCUCCCAAGACCUGUGGGGCGUGUCGUCAUUUUAGGGCUGGAGAUGAGGAAACCGAGGCUCGGAGAGAUGAAGCGUUGUACGGCCACCGAGCGGCUGCUUUGCAACGAAGCCAAAGCCAACGUUUUGUUCUUAGCGGCGGUCGUUUGAGCCACGCCUCACCGCAACGAGUCUGCCAUCAGCCAAGAGGUCACAUCUUUUCUGGAACUCGCUCCCCCCUCACAUCAUGGGAGCAGUCAGUCUACUCUUCCAGUAGAAACUGUUUUGCCACUUUUGGGGGGAAUCUUGAGCUACCAGCUCAUCGCUCAGGUCUUAGAUGACACUUUCCUUGACCCCACCGGGUGCUCCAGCGCCUCUGCUUCCGGUUUUCAUAGCCCUUAUAAUAUCACCUAUUGCAAUUGCCCAUUUCCUUGUCUGUCUCCCUCUGCAGAUGGAGUGAAGGUACCUGAGCGCAGGAACCAUGGUCUUCAUUGCUGCCUCAGCAUUAGCGGAAGUGCCACGGGCCGGCUCCCAGGGGGCCAGAGUUUCCCAGGAACACCAUUGAGUACCACUGAACUAGAGUCUGCAAGUUAAAGUAAGGCAAGAAGGAAAACCGGAAACAACUGUAAAAACCUGACCUUUCGUCACCUUAAUACUGGCCAUCAUUUAUCGAGUGCUUAUUAUGUAACAGACAUUGUUCUCAGUGUGUGAGUGCAGUGUUCCUCAAACCUAAAUGUGGGCCUGAAUCGCAGCGGAUCUUGGUAAAAUGCAGUUUCUCAUUCAGUACCUCUGGGGUGCGGCCUGAGAUUCUGCAUUUCCAACAAGCUCCCAGGAUACUUUGUAUAGAAAGGCUUUGGUGUAUUAACUAACUCGAUCUUCUUAAUAAUCCUAUGAAAUACUACUGCUAUUCCCAUUUUACAGAUGAGGAAACAGAGGUUAAGCAUAUAUGAACUUACAUCAAAAUAAAUAGACUGCAGGGCAAGGAGGGAGGGGAGAAUAGUGUGGGCAGUGUACAGUGCAGAAACAAAGUUCUAGGCAGAGGAAAAAGGAUUUACAGAAAGCCUGGCAUACAGGGCAGGGGGACGGGGCCUGCACACGGGGCUGUUUCACCGUUAGACGUUAUAAGCACAGUACUUGGGGCUAUGGGCUUCCUGAAGGUCCCAAGUAUUUGAGACCUGAAAAAAAUUUAUUGACACCUACAUAGGAAAAGUGAACUUUUAAAUUAAUAAUUCCAAAAUUCAAAUCACGAAUUGUUUCAAAAAUUUUACAUGAUAGAAUUCAUAUUUAGUAAGCGAUACGGGUAUAUUUUAAUGCAUUUGAUUUUAAAAACGGGGUAGGGCCUACUAAGAACAGGCCAAGCCCUGGCCCCAGUGGGUUUGGAUAUAAUCCUGAGGGCAGCUGGGAACCACUGAGAGAAGCAGGAGAAUGUUCUCUGUGGCUACAGUGAGGAGAAUGGAUUGGAGGGAGGCCAGACUGGAGGCCCAGUGGCUAGAGACCAGAUAGGCAGUUACAGUCUUCCAGACUGCGAGACAAUCUCUCUUUAGUGCCAAGAUUAGCAUAAAAUCAUAGCAUUAUAUAACCCAAUUAUUCUUUGAUUCCUGCAUCCCCAAUCUGACUCAGCAUUCUAAAUUUACUUAAGAUCUGGGGACAAGGGUUUUUGGCAAAUCCUUGAAGGCAAAUGAUGUUACAGUCAAUCAGUAUAUGCCUUGAGCCAGACAGACAUGGGUACGGGCCUCAGUUCUGCUGCUUGCUAGCUAUGUGACUUUGCACAAGUGAUUUAACUUCUCUGGGCCUUGGAUUCCUUACUGGUAACACGAGCAUAAUCGAUUCCUCACAGAAUUAAGUGAGAAAACUAUGUAUGUAGGACUUCUUAUGGAGUGGGUACUUAGAAAUAAAUGGUAGCCGUUAUCAUUUAUGUGCCUUUGUUCUGAAAUCUGCUUAAGUUUUCUCUAGGAAGUAACAGAGGGUAGAAUAAAUUAUUUAGUAUUUUCAU
Molecule: long non-coding RNA, 2465 nt
Filed under: Homo sapiens (human)
Lineage: Eukaryota; Metazoa; Chordata; Mammalia; Primates; Hominidae
Description: HSALNT0366034
Source: RNAcentral